Long non-coding RNA from Hemicordylus capensis (graceful crag lizard), 1324 nucleotides. RefSeq lists it as uncharacterized. The transcript has 7 exons. Lineage: Eukaryota; Metazoa; Chordata; Lepidosauria; Squamata; Cordylidae. The record is from RefSeq and is a predicted model, not a curated record.
UGCAGGAAGCUGUGAGUGGCUUUUACUGGAAAACCUACUGGAGAGAAAAAGGCAGACUGCAACUUCCAUGGCUUCAUUUUCAGGGAGAAAAACCCUCUGGAAAAACUGAAUACAGAUAAGCAUUAUGUAUUGCUUAGUGGUCAAUUACAGCUGAGAUCAACCUUGCAGUAGGAUAUUUAAGCAAAACAGUGUUCAGUAAAUGAGAUCCUCUACAAAAGCCAGAGAAGAACAAUGCAGACCUUGGCCUUGUGAGCAGAGGACAAGCAUGUGAUUGAACAAUAGCUCUUCUACACAAGGAAACUAACCUUAUACAGGGUUCCACUCAAAUCAUAUGAUAACGGCAAAAGCUUACAUCAUCCCAGUGUGUGCUAAUAAUAUAUAGAGACAAGAAAUGAAGAAACACAAGAGCUCUACAAGCUCCAUCACCUCUUGCCCUAUCUAAGCAGAGGUUUCUGAAACCAUCACUGAAACAAAACACCAAAGUUCAAUUUUCCAAACACUGCAUACCUUCUCCACAUCCACUGGAUAAUUAUUUAGAGAGAUUUUUUAAAAAAACUAUCCAGGCAACAGGAUGAAUCACCAGAGGGGAUGUGGAAUUUCCUUCUCAGAAUUCUGUAGAGAAAGGUGUGUUGGAAAGACAAAACAGGUCUAACAAAUGGGACACUGAAUCUGGUCUGGAACGUCUUCUAGAGAAGAUAGAGAGAAUUACACCUGUUUUGUGAAUGUGAGCCCAAGCAUAUGUAGAAGAAUCCCAUUUCCAAAGCAGCACAACCUCGCUGAUUUCAGGCUGCAUGUCAUUUUUGCAUAGGCAAAAGCUGAGGAUGACCUUCUGGACUGAAAGUCUCAGGGCCCAGCAGGACAAGAUGCUCCACUGUGGCCCUGCUGCACCUCCUGCUCUGCUUCUUUUCUCAACACCAAAGACCAGGCACGUGUGUCCUCACUAAAAGAAGAGGUGGAGAGACUGGCUACCUUCAUAGCAGGAGAAGUCCCACCACAACUGAACAUCAUUGAAGAGAUGCAGAUCGAGCUCAGAUGCCUUGCUUGAGGGAAGAGGAUGGCUGAGGAGUGAGAUUCACAACGAAGUGAACUGAGGUUCAUCAUGCAGGAGGGAAAUGAAAAGAUAAAGAGAUCUUUCACGUCUGCUCAGAAACGCAGUUGCCAAAGUUUGCAGAGAAGUACCAGUUAUGUAAAAGUCAUCCCACUCUGACUAUACAAUUGCUUUGCCAGUGUUUCAUUUAAGCAGACUUCUAAGACCUAGGGGAAGGGCUAAGCAAAUGUAUAAAUAUGAACGGGACAAAGGAAAAGAAUAAAUAAUUCUGUUGUU